UACUCUGGUUUCUUUUCAGAUCACAUAAAUCUUUCGCCUUUUACUACAGGUUUCCAUGGAGAGGAAAAAAGAAAGAAAGAAAGAAAG
Cricetulus griseus (Chinese hamster) is the source of this 87-nucleotide small nuclear RNA. Its record names the gene U5. It matches the Rfam family "U5 spliceosomal RNA". From Rfam's summary of the family: U5 RNA is a component of both types of known spliceosome. The record is from Ensembl. NCBI's taxonomy places the organism in Eukaryota, Metazoa, Chordata, Mammalia, Rodentia, Cricetidae.